UAAUAUAUUGCAUGUUUCGUAAAAAAAGUUCCCAUUAGAGUAAGAUAAACCGAUGAAAGAUAUAAUCCGUAGGUUGAGAAAAAGGAAAAGAAAAAAUAAAAAUCCCCGGUCAUCGGUCGUCACCGGGCAUCAUCAUCACCACCAUCAAGAACAACGACUUGGCGUGUGUCUGCUGCUGAUAGUUAGACGUCCGACGAGCUUGAUGUUGCCGAGCGAUUUAAUGGUGGUGGGGUAGAAGAAUUACUUGGGAGUGGUGCUGAGAAUGGUUUGAAUGGGGGUAAGAAGACGCCGGGGGAACCUUUGGAGUGGGGUUUUAAGCGGAAGUGAUGGGGGUAAUCAAGAGGCACGUUGCCCUUGGACGCGCAGUGCCAGUCGGGAACACAGAGUCUUUGCAAUAGGAUUUCAGUGUCGGAGCAACUGGUCCAUCGUGUCUCAUAAAGACCGGGAUAAUAUACAAAGCACGUGGUGAGGAAUGUAAUCUCCGAUGAGAAUCACCGAAUCUUUAACCGUGUACGCAGCGUUAAACAUCUCAACAGGUAUAUUAACGUCAACGUAAAAAGAAGAUACGCGCGUACCGGCAACUUCUAAGAGCACUAGAAGAGGCCACAGAGCAGGCUUCUGUAAUCGAUGGGUUGAGAACGCGAAACUCGUGCCUUCCACCUUUUUCUUUUCUUCGUUACCAAGGUGCUUAGCUUACCGAUGAGCCAUGCUGAAGGUAGUGGGCGCUUCUUGGCUGCAAACGCGCAUCUCCACGUACAUUCUUGUCGCCGUCGCUCUUCUUGGCGUCGGCGCCAUCAUUCUUGGUGAAUUUGGACAUGUUGAGAAAGAUGGGACAUACUCAGCAACUGUGUCGUGGAAUCACAAGGGAGGAUACCGUAUUGACUUUUGGGGCCAAGGCAAUGAUCUUACAGCUAUUUCAUUAAAUGCCGCACGUGCAUAUUACAAGACUGGAAUUUUAGAAAAUGGGUGGUCUAUCAUUGAAAUUGAAACAUCGGCAAAAUAUCCGGACACAGUACAAGCAUAUGCGGCAGGCCUUUUGGAAGGUAGUUUAACGUGGCAAUUGAUACACCAUCAUUGGUACAACACCAUCAAUGUAAUAUGCAAUAAAAAUCCAGUCGAAUGUAGAAAAUCACGACGGUAUCUUCGGGAGAAUGCAGCUGUGAUACGCGAGCGUGCUGAGUUGUUGGAAUCUAAGGACUCGUUUUGGCAUAUGGUACGAUUGUUUUAUGCACAAUUGGAUGGUUUGGAAGUUGGUUGGCGUUUCGCGGUACGUCGCAGUCGUCAAUCGGCAGAAAUACAAACGGAAGAUUUUCUUUGGCUAGCAAUGGCUUCUGAUUUAUCCUACGACGAUUUAACAUUGAUCAAUGGAUCGAACACCUCGAUCGGCGAAAAAGGCAUGAUUUUUCUUAAAGCACUUGCCAGAGAAAAUAAGAAACAACCACCGCUUAUUGCAAUUGGACACAACACUGCUGCACCAUACGCCAAAAUGUUGAGACUUUUGAAAAGAUACAAAUUCAAUUAUCAUGUAUUGCCUGGGUCAAAAAAUGUAGCACUAAUACCAACUAAAUCGAUCAUCAUGUCUUCAUAUCCUGGAGCGCUUUCCUCGCACGAUGAGUUUUAUUUAAUGACAUCUGAAAAUCGAGAGUUGAUAGUUGCUGGUAUGCCAUUGUCAGUUCCAACUCGUGAUCCUUGGGAUUUUGCAAGUCUGGAAAAUCAAGUAAUGUCGUCCAUCAGAGUAAUGGCAGCAAAUCGUUUAGCAACGGAUAGCAAAUCGUGGUCUAAAGUUUUAACUUUUCAAAAUGGUGUCAAUUCGAUGCACCAGUGGAUCACAUACGAACCAAGAUCCGCCAACGUUUGGUUAAUCGAACAAUUAGGAAGUAUCACUCACGUUGCCGAUUAUACGAAAAAUUUGACCGAUAGCGGUGUUAUCCUUUGUACUGGUUUACCAUAUUUCCAAGAGAUCGAGAAAGCAGCUGGUACUAUCAACGAGGAUGAUCUUUUAACGAGGAAACGUUAUUUGAUGCAGUCGCAAGAGAACAUUACUAUAAUGGAACAUGUUAGAAAUUUUAUGCGAGGCGGCUACAGCAGCCAAGAAGAGAAGUCGUCCACUCUAGAGAAUAUUAAUGAAACUUAUCGUUUGAAUUUAUCUCAAAUCCGAACUUACAGAGGUGACUUGGAGAAGCCGCCGUUACCGAUGGGUGUCAUCGACAGCAAAAUAAUAGCCGCCGAUCUGAACGGAUUGGAACUGUUCGAGGCUACUUCCGGUCCGGUUCGUUUCAACGAAUUAACAUCCCCCUUUCAAUGGUCUAAAUCAUUUCCAAAUAUUUCACACAUUAUGGGUCAACCGGAUGUCUUCGACUUCGACAGCGUUACACCUUUGUGGGUUUGGAUUUAAUGCAACGAGAAUUAUGACAAACUACUACGAGAACGUACAGAGAACAACAAUUUGGGAAAACUUAGCAAUCUCUCUCGUUGCUUUUAGAUAUCUCUAAGUCUUCUGCAAACAAACUGCCACAAUUCAACCUCGGUGACAAAAACAUAAAAUACUUAUGUACGUUCUUAAACAACAACGAAUCUUCAUUAAGCAUAAUUUAUUCACGCUGAAAAAAUCCUUCUUCUCUCCUUCAUAUUUAUCGCUUUCGCAGCUGGCUCAUAUGUCAGCUACCUUUGGUAAACUUUUUAACGAAAUAAAUGAAUCAAUAA
RNAcentral lists this unclassified non-coding RNA (2703 nucleotides) under Polistes canadensis. RNAcentral describes it as "putative phospholipase B-like lamina ancestor, transcript variant X2". Lineage: Eukaryota; Metazoa; Arthropoda; Insecta; Hymenoptera; Vespidae. The record is from RNAcentral.